Long non-coding RNA from Panicum hallii, 733 nucleotides. RefSeq lists it as uncharacterized. Lineage: Eukaryota; Viridiplantae; Streptophyta; Magnoliopsida; Poales; Poaceae. The record is from RefSeq and is a predicted model, not a curated record. The transcript has 5 exons.
GCAUGAUCCACUUGUCUGCUGCUGGGACGUUUGUUCAUUCAGACCUUCUACAGGAUGGAGGGAGUAACAGAGGACUAUGUAGUGGUGUUAAUCUCCCGAGUCGGCUCCGGAAGAGACAACACCAUGACUGUCUGAAAAGGGUGGAGAUAGCAAAUAUAAAAAGAAUAGGGAGAGGCUAAAUAAUUCAAACAUGAAGCCAACUGGUCUGUCGUUUCAUAUGUUGAAAGAAAUCACGAAUGAUUUUUCAACAAAAGUUGGACAUGGUGGGUAUGGAGAGGUUUUACAAGGGAGUUUAUAAUGGGAGAGAUGUUGCUGUGAAGAAGCUAUACAACAUGCGAGGACUUGAUGAAAAUAUUUUUAAGAAUGAACUUAACAGCCUAAUGAGGGUUCAUCAUCAAAACAUCGUACACUUACUUGGCUAUUGUUAUGAAUAAGCCAUAUGGUGAACUUUUUUUUUGUUAGAACGGACCAUAGAGUCCUCUGCUUCGAAUAUUUGCAUGGUGGAAGCCUUGACAAGCAUCUAUAUGAAGAAUCUUCUGGAUAUGAUUGGUGUACUCGUUACAAGAUAAUUAAAGGAAUUUGUGUGGGUUUAAUUACCUUCACGUGGGACUAAAAAAGCCCAUUUUUCAUCUAGAUCUAAAGCCUGCCAACGUACUGCUAGAUAAAAAUAUGGUGCCAAAAAUUGCAGAUCUUGGCCUGUCAAGGCUGUUCACUGGUACACAUAGUCAUGUUA